RNAcentral lists this ribosomal RNA (301 nucleotides) under uncultured bacterium. RNAcentral describes it as "partial 16S ribosomal RNA". It matches the Rfam family "Bacterial small subunit ribosomal RNA", at positions 509 to 807 of the family's 1533-position model. The record is from RNAcentral.
CAGCAGCCGCGGUAAUACAGAGGGUGCGAGCGUUAAUCGGAUUUACUGGGCGUAAAGCGUGCGUAGGCGGCUUCUUAAGUCGGAUGUGAAAUCCCUGAGCUUAACUUAGGAAUUGCAUUCGAUACUGGGAAGCUAGAGUAUGGGAGAGGAUGGUAGAAUUCCAGGUGUAGCGUUGAAAUGCGUAGAGAUCUGGAGGAAUACCGAUGGCGAAGGCAGCCAUCUGGCCUAAUACUGACGCUGAGGUACGAAAGCAUGGGGAGCAAACAGGAUUAGAUACCCCCGUAGUCCCUGUCUCUUAUAC